AGCGAACUGCGAGUAGGCCAUCCUACAGCGCCGGGAGGUUAACCGAGCCCCCGGAGGAGGUGAGACCGCCAGCCUGCGCGGGCGGAGAUGGCUGGGCCGCCGUCGGGGCCGGCGCCAGAGCCCGGCAGCCUGUGGGUCCUGCAGCUUCUGUGAAAGGAGCCCUUCUGUCACUCGUCACUCGCUUGCUCGCUCGCCCGCUUGCUAGCUCGUUCGCUCGCUGUGGGAGGAGCCCGCCAGAGGAAGCCGUGUGCCUGGGAUGCCAAGAGCCAGAGAAUGGAUCUGCUCCGAGUGGGGACAUUGCUGAGGAUCCCGGCUUCCCGAGGCGGCUGAAAACAAGCAUUUGGUUUCGGCUGCCUGCCGAUACCAGGAGACACAACGAGACCUAAGCGGACCAGAGGAGGGACAGACCGACUGACAGAUAGAUGGUCGGCGCGAACCCUGGAGGACCGGCGGCGGAGGCUGAGCACCGCGAGCCCAGCCGCCGCGCUUGAAGAGAAACUAACUGCACGCCCAAGUUGCCCCGCCGGCUGCCCGCGCGCUGAGGAAUGAGACCUUUCCAGCUGGAUUUGCUCUUCCUCUGCUUCUUCCUCUUCAGUCAAGGUAAUGAAUGAGUAUUCUGGCGGUAUACUUCCAGAAGUCAGUAAAUGUCAAUAUUGGAUAAGUGUUUCCUUUAUAUCAUGGCAAUUUAGCAUAAGCUACUUGGAAACAAAUAUCUUCCGCAAGCAUACAGUGUUUCAACAUACCCCGAGCUUUGUUUCCAUGAUGAUUCUACAUCCUGUCUAGUUGGCAAUCAUGAUUAACCAUUCUACCUCCAGUAGCACCCGACUCCUAGAAAAUCCACCACCCUCACUAAGUACCAGCCAGCCUCUCAGAUACUUCCUUAUUCUGGUGAGAAUAUCCUCAACUCCACUUAAUAGUUGAGGAACUAGAAUGUCAUUGAGGUUAAUUUAUUUGCCCCUCAUUUAAAUAAUAGAGUAAAAAUUAAUGAGUGAGUCUUCUGUCUCCAGUGGCGUUCUCCCCAGCCCGCAGGGCUCUUCUGAGUCAGCCCAACAACAGACAGACUCUCACCUUCCCCAGACUCUGAGUCAGGCUUCAGUGCUCUCAGAGAAUGAAUUUCCUGUGAAUCAAUCCUGGAUGCAGUUAUUAUUUUAUAGGGAUGUUGUAAGUUGAUAAGGAAGCUGUUAUAUGCUAAUAGCUAUUGUAAUGUUGUUCUUAAGGCCUAUUACUUGUGCUGGUUUGUAUUUUAAUGUGUGCAAAGGUGAUUACAACUUUAAUAUGAAUGUUAAACAGAUUAGCUGAUUUAUAUGUAAAAUAAAUAAAUAAAUGGAAAC
Molecule: non-coding RNA, 1331 nt
Organism: Arvicanthis niloticus (Nile rat)
Lineage: Eukaryota; Metazoa; Chordata; Mammalia; Rodentia; Muridae
Source: RefSeq, a predicted model, not a curated record